UAAAAUGGCGAAUGUGCGUGACAGUGAUACUUCGUUGUGGCUUCACAAUAAACUCGGAAUUUCAAAUGAUUCUUGGACAGGAGGAUCAAUAUGUUCACAAUUAAAUGCUGAAGUAUUGAGAAAUAUAAAAGACUGUUUCCCAGAUUUACAAACUCAAGUUAAACUGAAAUUAUUACUCAGUUUUUUUCAUAUCCCGCGCAGAAAUUUGGAAGAGUGGAAGACAGAACUAGAACAAAUUUUGGAAGUAGCGUUAGGCGAUUCUGAAUUGUGGGUUGCCAUGUUAGCAGAUGCACUAAAAACCUACCCUUCUACUGGAUCUUUGAAUACAGAAAUAUCAGAUGUAGAUGAAGUUCGUCCUAUUUUUAAUGAUUUAGUGGCUGAUUUAAGGAGAUUAGUCCGUAAACAAAAUGACCACACUAUGUUACCCAUGGAAUGUCAUUAUUUAAAUAAGGGAGCUCUAGUUUCAGUUGUUGGACAUAAACCUGAACCAUUAAAACAUUUUACAAUAAAAAAGAAACCAAAAUCCGCGUUACUUAGGGCAGAUCUGCUGCAGAAAUCUAUGGAUGCAGCAUCAAAUAUGAAUAAAAAAUCUUGUGCACCUGUCAUACCAGUUCGAUCCAGAGGGAUGCCAAGAAAAAUGACAGAUACAACACCUCUGAAAGGAAUCCCAAGCAGAGUACCAACUUCAGGAUUUCGAUCUGCAUUGAACAGUAAUGCUAAUAGACCUCCGCUUUCUAGAGCACCUGCUGGAAGAAAGGAGGGUGGUGUUAAACUGUUAGAUAUUGCAGAUCAACCAUUAGGUUAUGCUGCAGCUAAAAAAAGAAAGAAAAUGCAAGAAAUUGAGGAUGCUGCUAAAAAAGCAACUGAAAAUGCAACAGUACAAAGUCCUCCACUUACAACAACUGUUGUUACAACUCCAGAUUAUGCCGCUGGUCUGGCUCCAACUCCAACUUACGCUCCAGCUACACCUCAACCCGUUGUAACUCCCUCAGCAGGAUCUUUGGUUACAACAUCUUUGAUAUCUCAACCAGUACAAACUCCUCCUAUACCAUCAACUCCAACCCCAGUUACACCUCAGAUUUCAACACCUGUUUCAGUUCCUAUACCUCAACCGGCAGUUGCUGUUACUCAACAGCUCAUUCAUACAAUGAGACCUGUUCCUCCGUUAUUGGCGACGACGCCUUCAGGCCAAAGAACUAUUAUUUCUUCUGAACCAACUGUCCAACAAGUGCAGCAACACGUGCAAACUCAACAUAUUAUUGGUACACCUGUUGUAGUUACACAAAGGCCAGUACAACAGCCCCAACAGACUGUUACACACAUUAGGAUUCAACCUCAACCUACAGCGACAGUUUUACAAAGAAGAGGUCUUGCUCUCACGAGAGAACAAAUGUUGGAAGCUCAAGAUAUGUUUCGUACAGCAAACAAAGUUACUCGGCCGGAAAAAGCGCUCAUUCUCGGUUUUAUGGCUGGCUCUAGAGACAAUCCGUGUCCUCAUCUCGGUAAUAUAGUUACUAUCAAACUUUCAGAAGAUCAAGAAAAUGUACUACAACCAGACGCUACUUAUCUUACCAUGCUGGUAGAGACUCACUUUCAGAUGAAUUACAACAACGGAGAAUGGAAGAAAAUAAAAAAAUAUCGACAUGUAGAGAAUGUUGUGGAACAGAUCACACCGAAUACAGCGACAGCUACUUUAGUUUGACAGAACGUCAAAGGAUAGUCGAGCAGAUAGAAAUUUUAUAGAUUUAUAUGAGUGUAAGGACGUAAUUGCUACUAGACGGACCGGGAGGCAGUAAGUAAUAUAAAAUAGAAGCAGAUAGCUUACAAUUUGAAAAGAAAGAUUACAGAAAAUCUUGAGGUUUGACAGAAGACUAUUGAUAUUAUACGGGGACAUCAUUUAAUUAAAUUAAACUUUGUUCAAUAUUAUAUUUCCAAAUAUUUACAGAUAUUGGCAAAAGUUCAAUUCAAUUUCAAAACCAUUUAUUAUGUUACUAUACUUUUCAAUUUUUUGAGAGUAGUUCAAAUGUACCAGUAACCUUUUUAUGUAUCAGUUGGGAAACUAAAUUGAACUUUGACUUUUUAUUUUCAAUGAAUCAUUUAAAACGUUAACUAUCUCGGUAUCUGCAUUUUUCAGGAGUAGUUCAAAUAUACCAGGAUCUAUUAGCUGUGAAAAUAAGUUGAAAACAAUGAAAUUUUCAUUGGUGUUGAACUUUAUAUAGAAUUUUUGGAUACCCGUUAGAAUUUAAUUUGAUUUUCAUCUUUUUUUUUAUUAAAAUUGAACUUUGUUCUAGAAUCCUGGACUAUCUGUUGAGAUUUGGUUCAAUUUUUGAUUCUUCUUUUAAAAAUCCAAUUAUAACAUUAAUUAUCAUGGUAUCUGCAUUUUCUGGGAGUAGUUCAAAUGUACCAGCUUCUAUUGUACAUAACUAUUGUGAAAAGAAGAUGGAAAUACUGAUACCUUCAAUCAAAUUGAACUUAAUUUUAGAAUAUUUUGCAGUAUUUUUAUAAAUUUAACAAAAAAUUUCAUAAUUAUCAUGUAUCUCAAACUGAUUAGUUAGAAUGAAGUUGAAAAUCAUGAAAUAUUGAUAUUCUGUAGAUUUCAAACAAAAUUCUUUGAUUGAAAAUCUAAAGUUUCUAGGAGUAGUUCAAAUGCACAUAACUAUUGUGAAAAUAAAAUGACAAUAUUGAUAUCUUAAAUCAAAUUCAAUUUGUUUCGAUUAGGUAUCUGCAAUUGGAGUAGUUCAAAUGUACCAGUUUCUAUUGAACAUAAUGGUUGUGAAAAGAAGUUGAAAUACUUUUAUUAUGAAUAGUUACUUGAUAUGAAAGUUAUAAACUCAAGGUUUGAACAUAAAUAACUUUCAAUUACAACAAAUAUGGACUAAACUUUUUUAUUAUUAUUAAACUUAACGUAAUAGUUGCAUUCGAAUGUGGCAAGAUUUUUGAUCUCAUCAUUUACAGAUAAAACAAGAAGUCUUUUUUAGAAUUCUAAUAAUUUUAUUACAACGUUUAAUAAGUAAUACAAAGGAAAAGCUAAUUUUCAUUUGUAGGGCUUCAAAAAUCUCGUUGGCACUAAUUAUUUUUUGUCAUUUUACCUUCUUAUUGGCAGGUAGGGAAAAUAAAUAAAUUCAAUAAAUGUCAAUUAUGCUCAUCGGGGCUUAGCUAGUGCCUACACUAGAUAAGUGACCCUCCGGAUGAGUAGCUUAGUCAGGAUUUUGAAAUUUGAGGCGUCCGUUAGAUAUUUUAGGGCUCCUCAUACUCUCAGUACCAUUAAUAAUUAAUAACAAAAUCUCUGUUUAAACUAUUAGCGUUUAUUUUGACAUUUUCGCAGGUUAGUACCAUAUGCAGCUUCAUCCAGCACAUUAUUCGGUGUGACAUCGAUCAAAGCAAGACCGUUUAAAAGUGUCUCACUUGUGUUUCACCUAUAGCAGUCGUUACUGGAAAAUAUUUUGAGUAAUUGUGGACUGCUGGUGGAAUAGUUUUUUCACAGCAAUACAUUUUUGGCAUACUUGGUACCAAGUCGUUUCACUUUCUUCUCGUUCUCUUCAGAUACUGUCAAUUCAUCUUUUGUCAGAUGAAUCCAUUUCAACUAUGCUUGGAACAUUUAGAAGGCUGCAGGUCCACACUAGAGGAACCCUACUCAAACCGAUUAAGACAGAAGGUUGUCUACUCAGACGUUGUUGUCCUGAUUAUAGGAAAUAAAGCUUAGAAAGGAUUUCUGGACAUACAAUGAAGAAUCCAAACUAGAGGACUGCUCUGGAGAUACAGGAGAGGGUAGAAGCUCGAAAUAAGGCUUAUUUCACUACUUAAAACAUGCUGAAACUCCGCAUACUUUGCAGGUGCACAAAAGAGAGGAUCUACCGUGCAAUACUGAGUCCAAAAGAAGGCCUCAGACUACCAGGACGACGAAGAACAGGACCUAAUAGAACUAAGCAUUGAGAAUAUCGAAAAGAAUGGAGGAAAAUUGUCCGGAAAGUCAAGGAUCUUCAAGGACUUCUGGUUUCCAUAUUGCACCUUAGAACUCAUUUUCUGCAUAAUCUUCCAAUAAUCAAUUAUCAAAAAAUAUAAUCAAUUAUAUAAAAUAAUCGUUUAUUUUCGAUUAAUUGAAAAUAAUUAUGUAUAUAAACAAUUAUGCAUUUUUGAGAAUGAAAAUGGGCAAGAAAUUUUCUACAAACUGAGGUGUCUCCAGUUCCAGAUUUAUUGAAGUAAUGCCAAAGUCAGCUUAUUCCUCUAUUUUCUUCCAUAUUCCUAAAAAAACAUAAUUCGGGCAAAAAAUGCUGCAUCUGCAUCCCAUUCACAUUAUUUUUAUUGCCGACUGCAAGAAUAAACUUUAAAAUAGCCGCCCUCAAAUACUUUGACAGUACUAUAAUAUACAGAGUUCGGCAACAGUCGGGUCCCGGACAUUUGCCGAACUCUGUAUAAUCAAAGAUUAUAGUAAAUGUAAUUAACUUGUUAAAAAAGUAAAACUGUUUGUAUAAAUGAUCAUCUGUAACACAAACUAGAAAAUAAUUGGCACACAAACCUGGAUCCUCUUCAAUGGAAUUAGUAAUAAUCAUAAUAACAAAUUAGUAAUUUGGUUAUGCUUAGAAACUUACCUUGAUUUUUUCUUUGCACACUUUAGACAAUCAAUCAGAAAGCACAGUGAUGAUAGGUUAGGUCGAAUUAAAAAACCAAACGUUAUGUGAAAUAUCAAAACUCUUUUCUAAUAAAGCAAUGGUCUAAUAUUUUAUGUCCUGUGAUCCAAAAAAAAUGCAGCAGCAAAACUAUCUAUGCGACACUAGACCGCAAAGGUUUCAAUAAAAUAAAAAAACUUAGAAAAACGCGGGCCGCUGGACACUAUCUAACAUCAAAGAAACUAAUGAUAUUUUUUAUUUUUUUUAAGGUAAAUGCCAUUUGUGAAGAGCUUUUUAAGAAUAAUUUUUGUACCUAGUCAACUAAAUAAGUUUAAAUGUUAGAUAUACCUAAUUAUCAAUAUGUAGGUAUUUGUAUUUGGUUAAAGCGAUUAAUUAAAAGGGGGUGUGCUCUUACUUAAUUUUAUGUAAUUGAUUAGUAUAAUCAAUAAUUGUGAUCCAUUUAAUACAAUUUGUCCCAAAGAGAUCGAAAACUCGAAAGAAAUAUUUCUUGAUUACGACAGCUAUAAAGUUGAAAAAUAACAUUGUGAUUUGAUUCCCAUCAAAAUAAAACUAAACAAUAGAAAUAUUUCUUAUUAUUAAUUUCUCAGAGAGAGUAUUUAAUAGGUAAGUUUCUGUAAAGAAAAAAAAAGAAGUUGUCGAUGUCAAGUUUUGGAUCCAGUAUACCUACAGAACCACAAAAAAGUACAAAAGUGUGAAAAUUAUGGAAAAGAAUCAAUUUUCGAUAAAUUGAUUAUUUUCGAUUAAUCGCUUAACAAUUUUUCGUACAAUCGUUAAAAUAAUCAAUUUAACUAUUAAAAAAUUUAUUUCCUGAAUAAUUAUUUCGACAUAAUUCAAUAUCAGAAUCUUACUUCCAAAUACCUCCUGUAGGUUCAUUAUUUGGUUUGUUUUUAUUGGGAAUCGAACCAUAAUCGUUCUUUCGAAGCUCUAUUUUCGAUUUAUCGAUUAUUUUAUAUAAUCGAUUAUAUUUUUUGAUAAUUGCCCAGCACUACAAAAGCGUAUCCCAUUGCAUUUACAAAUUCCGAAUUGAUACAUCGAGGUUUAAAAUGAGUAUACUGCAUCAUACAAUUCCAUAAAAUCAGAGAUACAGUUAUGACUUUUAAGCCAUCUUGUAGGUUAUGUCCAAUAUUUAGUGAUUCGCCCUCGUAGUUUAUUCAAACACAGUCCACUUCUGGUUGCCUAAUAGUAGGCGACCAAGAAUCACUGAGGACACUCGCGAGAUGGCAGGAGGGAAAAAUACGUCGAGAACAAACACACAUUUUUUUUUUCUAACAAAACAAACGUCGAAUCACUACAACCACCACACUGUAAUUUACAGGCAAUACACUUUGAACCUCGUCUUGUUACUUUUUGUUCAAUGGUGAUCUUGGAAGUUGUCUUUUUGAAGUUUUUAUUCUUCUAUUUUUUGCCAAUUUCCUGUAUUGCAUAUACGUAAAACGCCCUUGAUAAAACUUGUUGCGGCCAUUUUAACUUCUGCUAUUAAAGUCUCGUGGUAAAUUUGUUUUGACUGGUUGUAUGUUGAUUUUGUUUACAUCCUCAAAAUUUUGGGAAAUUUUUAUAUUAUUUUUGAAAUGAAUAUAAAAGGAAAACUUUACGUUCAUUUAAAUAUUCAGCAGUACAUCGCAGUUAAUUUUUAUGUCUACAUUAAUGGCCGUCGAUAUUCCAAUGUUGCCAAAUCCUUUAAAAAAACCAAUUAUUUGAUGAUUAAUGAAAUAUGGUUGAUAACUAUGUACCUACCAAUAAGAAAAUAUAUUUAUAUUUGGUAUAUUUUAUAUCAAAAAUUUAUUCGACCGAUUUUUUCUAAUUUUUUCAUAAAAUCUGCCAGGUGUACGUAUUUUAAAUAUAAUACUUUUUUUGAAAAUUGUAUAUGAAUUGUGUAUAUAAUGAUUGGAAAAUUUUUUUAAAAUAUUUUCGCGAUAUAUCGCAAUAUUUGUAUAUUGAAAUAUUUGAAAUUAAGUUAAAUUUUGUACAUAACAGAAAUUCUUUAUUAUAUUUAUUGUUUUGUCAUUUCAUACGAAUGUCAUUGUAGAAUUUCUUGUGUUCGAUUUUAUUGUUAAUUUUGUCAAGACACUUUGUAUAUAUUGUUGAAGAAUUAUAUUAAAAAUCUAAUAUUUUUAAAA
RNA transcript from Diorhabda sublineata, 6745 nucleotides. It is a transcript of the gene named negative elongation factor A, with no coding region annotated. NCBI's taxonomy places the organism in Eukaryota, Metazoa, Arthropoda, Insecta, Coleoptera, Chrysomelidae. The record is from RefSeq and is a predicted model, not a curated record. The transcript has 8 exons.